UACGGGGGGAGCAAGCGUUGUUCGGAUUUACUGGGCGUAAAGGGCGCGUAGGCGGCCACCGCAAGUCAGUUGUGAAAUCUCUGGGCUUAACCCAGAAAGGUCAACUGAUACUGCGGGGCUAGAGUGCAGAAGGGGCAACUGGAAUUCUCGGUGUAGCGGUGAAAUGCGUAGAUAUCAGGAGGAACACCUGCGGUGUAGACGGCUUACUGGACCAUAACUGACGCUGAGGCACGAAAGCGUGGGUAGCAAACAGG
RNAcentral lists this ribosomal RNA (254 nucleotides) under uncultured bacterium. RNAcentral describes it as "partial 16S ribosomal RNA". It matches the Rfam family "Bacterial small subunit ribosomal RNA", at positions 524 to 776 of the family's 1533-position model. The record is from RNAcentral.